GACGAACGCUGGCGGCGUGCCUAAUACAUGCAAGUCGAGCGGAACUUAGAAAGCUUGCUUUCUAAGUUUAGCGGCGGACGGGUGAGUAACACGUGGGCAACCUGCCUAUAAGACUGGGAUAACUUCGGGAAACCGGAGCUAAUACCGGAUAAUAUAAAAGAUCACAUGGUCUUUUAUUGGAAGAUGGCUUCGGCUAUCACUUAUAGAUGGGCCCGCGGCGCAUUAGCUAGUUGGUGAGGUAAUGGCUCACCAAGGCGACGAUGCGUAGCCGACCUGAGAGGGUGAUCGGCCACACUGGGACUGAGACACGGCCCAGACUCCUACGGGAGGCAGCAGUAGGGAAUCUUCCGCAAUGGACGAAAGUCUGACGGAGCAACGCCGCGUGAGCGAUGAAGGCCUUCGGGUCGUAAAGCUCUGUUGUUAGGGAAGAACAAGUAUCGUUCGAAUAGGGCGGUACCUUGACGGUACCUAACCAGAAAGCCACGGCUAACUACGUG
Molecule: ribosomal RNA, 497 nt
Filed under: uncultured bacterium
Lineage: Bacteria
Description: bacterial SSU rRNA
Rfam family: Bacterial small subunit ribosomal RNA
Source: RNAcentral